Non-coding RNA from Podarcis lilfordi (Lilford's wall lizard), 125 nucleotides. NCBI's taxonomy places the organism in Eukaryota, Metazoa, Chordata, Lepidosauria, Squamata, Lacertidae. The record is from the annotation of a GenBank genome assembly.
UGUCCAGUAGCACCUUAGAGACCAACUAAGUUUGUUCUGGGUAUGAGCUUUCAUGUGCAUGCACACUUCUUCAGAUACCUGUGUGCAUGCACAAACUUAGUUGGUCUCUAAGGUGCUACUGGACA